Cercocebus atys (sooty mangabey) is the source of this 501-nucleotide long non-coding RNA. NCBI's taxonomy places the organism in Eukaryota, Metazoa, Chordata, Mammalia, Primates, Cercopithecidae. The record is from Ensembl.
GGAACGGUUUCGGAACGGGCUCUUUCUCUCUGCUGCUUUGGUUCUUAGGUGCUGAUUUUAGUUUCCAUCAAUGCUGUGUGGCGAUCACUGUCAUCCUCCAACACUGCAGACGGUGAUGACACCCCAUGAAGACCAGGGUUACGUGAUCCUCGGCCACUGCCGUGACCUACCUGCUGGGUCCAAGGGAGGCUCAGUAAAUAGCUGCCAAUUAAAUAACUGUAUGCACUACAAGGAAAGAGAUAGUCUGCAAUUCCAAACAGUGCUGCAGACUUCUCCAAGCCCGGAGUCAGUGAACCAUGAUGACAGACGAUUAAAUAAAUAAACAUGGAAAUACUGGCUAUAGAUUUUAGACCAAUAUAUCCCUCCAUGCAGAAGCAGAUUGAGAGUAUCGUAGAAGAAUCUUUUCUGUAUCCUUGUGGACAUCUCAGAAUUAUGUGAUUUUUCUUUUCUUUCUGCUUUUCAGGAUGAUUUACGGAAGCUUCUUUUUUCUUAAAAUAAAAU